CCAAUGAAGAUCUCCAAAGUUGACAGAGAAAUGAUUGAGUUAGCUGUAAGGAGUAAGGUUUGCAAUAUUGGACUGAAACGCUCUGCUGCGAAGCUAUUGGCUCGAUUUCAGCCAAUAGCUAAGGAUCUAAAUCAGGUACAAAGGGACAAUUGCAGUAAUGUUCAAGCAGUAAAUAUUUUAAAGAGUAACCACCUCAAAAACAACCAGCAAUUGGAAAAAAUGUUGAGAAGAAGGUAUAAACAGUUCAUUACUAAAGCUCAUCUCCUUGCCAAAUGUUGAUCCUUUGAUGCAGGGGAAGGAACUUAAUGAAGAAGAGAUGAAUUUGACAAUGGAAUAUGGUAAUGAGAAAUAUCCAGAACUUGUUCCUAUCAACAUUAAAUUUCAGGAUAGAUCACCUCCUUUGAGUCAUUUAAUUUUACAGUACACGUGACCAAGACCAUUUCAGCUAUUGAAUGGUAGGAAUUUCAUGCAGGUUUUACGGGCUUAAUAAUUUCAGAUGAAUUAAUGUCUGCAUGAAUAAACUCAAUAUGAGGAUAUUUCAUAAAAAUAUGUUCGAUUCCGUUAGGCCCAGAAUAAAUUUAACCUAAAAGGACAAUAUCUUUAAUUUUUAAUUAAAGAAUAAUAAUUUAAGUCGUGUAUGAAAUCUAAAAGGAAAAAAAUAUUUUUAGUUUACAAUAAAGUAGAAAUUAUUCCAGUUCUAUAAGUAAACUCAGAAGAAAUUUAGUUAACCAGGACUUAAUAUACUUAAUUUAUAAUCAAGAAAUAAAUAUUUCAGUUGUAUAAGUAGACAUGUAAUUAUGCUAUAUUAAAAAAUUAUUAUUUUGCAUCAAAAUUUCUGCAUAUUUUUAAAGUUUUUCCUUAUUUUUUAUGUACAUAUUAUAGAAGUAUGAUUUAAAUCAACCUGAUUUAAAUCAAACAGCCCUGGAAAAAACUAUUUAAAUUCUAUUUAAAAAAAAAAAAAAAUAUUUUACUAUUAUACCGUACUUAACGGCAUAGGGGGUACUGUGGUUUGUACUAAACAGUGGGCUUAGUAUACCGCCUAACCCUGGUCUUUUUUUAAGUAAAUUAAACUUAUAAAUAAUAAUAUGCAGGUAUUAUACACCGAUGAGUUUUUUUUAAUUAUAACUUCAUCGAACAUAAUAUUGUAGAAAAGAUAGUUUUCCCCAAUUUAGGUCUUAAUUGCCUAAUAUGUCAAUGUUAUGCAUACAUUUCAUAAUUUUGUUUAGUUCUUUACGCACUUCAAUAAUUGCGUUAUUAAAAGGAUGAUCACUUAGCUUCCUUCUUAUUUGCAUCUCUUUGUACCUUAGUUAAUGAUGUAUGUUUAACUAAAAAGAUUUGAAUAGUAGUUAACAUAUGUGUAUUAAUACUUAUGUUUUUUGCACACUUAUGUUGCAAUAAUAUAUGAGUCAAUUGUUGUGUACACAGGGAGGGAGAGGGAACAAUGCAAAAUCAAAGAGGCGUAAAAAUAUUGUUUUUUGCCCCCUUUCCCUUCCAUGUUUGAAAUAUUACAUCUAAUAAUAAUUGUCCGGUCGUAGCAAGCCUUGUUUAAAGAAGAAAAAAACAACAACAACCAUAGGGUGCUUCUUAUGCUGUAUGAAUGCUAAUUUUCCAAAACGUUAAAGAAAAUUUUUGUUCAUUCCUUUUAUACACAUGCUAACAAAGAAAGGGGAUGGGUCAAAAUUAAUGACAAUUGUUGAAAAUUGGGGAAUGAUUUUAUUUUAACUUGCAAAAAAACAAACUACAUAAAUUGAAUAGAUAAAUUUUUCCAUCAUCUUUAGUAGAAAUAAUUAAUUGGCAUUAACAUUAUAUGAUCUUUUUCAACCAAAUAUAUUCAAUAUUAUUUUCUAGGAAAUUAUUAGUGUUGGACAAUCUAUGACCGGUUUGAGAGGGCUUAUGAUUUUUGUUGGGUCGAACUAAUUUGGUCCUUUAAAAAAAUUGGGCUGGACCGGUCUGAUAGAAGAAUUUGGUGUAGAUUGGUCUAAAGGUAAAAUUCGGUCUAGGACAGUCCGAAGGAAAAACUCGUUCUGGAACGUUCUAAAGUAUAAUGAAAAAAUCAAUGACGUUGGAUCUAGAAAAAAAGAAAGAAAGAAAUUCGGUCUUUUGAUAUAUGAGACCGAAAAAAACUAGUCCAAAGAUUGAGACCGAGGAAUGUUGGUUCACAAUCUAGGACAGUGUCUGGACUGAAAAAUCGACCAAGAAAAAAUCACAUACUGAAAAAAAGGUGUUAGUCUCAGCAGUAAUAUUUAUGUAAAUAAAUAGUAUAUCUUGUGAGAUAUUGUACUUUUUCUUUGAAGUUGUUAAAGAAAAAGCUUCUUUGAUGAACAUAGCCUUAAGGAUAAUUAA
RNAcentral lists this long non-coding RNA (2343 nucleotides) under Lepeophtheirus salmonis (salmon louse). RNAcentral's name for it is "uncharacterized LOC121115956". The record is from RNAcentral. Lineage: Eukaryota; Metazoa; Arthropoda; Copepoda; Siphonostomatoida; Caligidae.